AGAGUUUGAUCCUGGCUCAGAUUGAACGCUGGCGGCAUGCCUUACACAUGCAAGUCGAACGGCAGCACGGGUGCAACCCUGGUGGCGAGUGGCGAACGGGUGAGUAAUAUAUCGGAACAUGCCCUGAAGUGGGGGAUAACGUAGCGAAAGUUACGCUAAUACCGCAUAUUCUGUGAGCAGGAAAGCAGGGGAUCGCAAGACCUUGCGCUUUAGGAGUGGCCGAUAUCGGAUUAGCUAGUUGGUGAGGUAAAGGCUCACCAAGGCGACGAUCCGUAGCGGGUCUGAGAGGAUGAUCCGCCACACUGGGACUGAGACACGGCCCAGACUCCUACGGGAGGCAGCAGUGGGGAAUUUUGGACAAUGGGCGCAAGCCUGAUCCAGCCAUGCCGCGUGAGUGAAGAAGGCCUUCGGGUUGUAAAGCUCUUUCGGUUGGGAAGAAAUUGCUUGGGUUAAUACCCUAAGUAGAUGACGGUACCAGCAUAAGAAGCACCGGCUAACUACGUGCCAGCAGCCGCGGUAA
Molecule: ribosomal RNA, 520 nt
Filed under: uncultured bacterium
Lineage: Bacteria
Description: bacterial SSU rRNA
Rfam family: Bacterial small subunit ribosomal RNA
Source: RNAcentral